GACGAACGCUGGCGGCGUGCCUAAUACAUGCAAGUCGAGCGAAGUUUUUCUGGUGCUUGCACCGGAAAAACUUAGCGGCGAACGGGUGAGUAACACGUAAAGAACCUGCCUCAUAGACUGGGACAACUAUUGGAAACGAUAGCUAAUACCGGAUAAUAGCAUUAACUGCAUGGUUGAUGUUUAAAAGUUGGUUUUGCUAACACUAUGAGAUGGCUUUGCGGUGCAUUAGCUAGUUGGUGGGGUAAAGGCCUACCAAGGCGACGAUGCAUAGCCGACCUGAGAGGGAGAUCGGCCACACUGGGACUGAGACACGGCCCAGACUCCUACGGGAGGCAGCAGUAGGGAAUCUUCCGCAAUGGGCGAAAGCCUGACGGAGCAACGCCGCGUGAGUGAAGAAGGAUUUCGGUUCGUAAAGCUCUGUUGUUAGGGAAGAAUGAUUGUGUAGUAACUAUACACAGUAGAGACGGUACCUAACCAGAAAGCCACGGCUAACUACGUG
This 499-nucleotide ribosomal RNA is filed under the name uncultured bacterium. RNAcentral describes it as "partial 16S ribosomal RNA". It matches the Rfam family "Bacterial small subunit ribosomal RNA", at positions 28 to 507 of the family's 1533-position model. The record is from RNAcentral.